CCUACGGGAGGCAGCAGUGGGGAAUCUUGCGCAAUGGGCGAAAGCCUGACGCAGCCAUGCCGCGUGAAUGAUGAAGGUCUUAGGAUUGUAAAAUUCUUUCACCGGGGACGAUAAUGACGGUACCCGGAGAAGAAGCCCCGGCUAACUUCGUGCCAGCAGCCGCGGUAAUACGAAGGGGGCUAGCGUUGCUCGGAAUUACUGGGCGUAAAGGGAGCGUAGGCGGAUAGUUUAGUCAGAGGUGAAAGCCCAGGGCUCAACCUUGGAAUUGCCUUUGAUACUGGCUAUCUUGAGUAUGGGAGAGGUAUGCGGAACUCCGAGUGUAGAGGUGAAAUUCGUAGAUAUUCGGAAGAACACCAGUGGCGAAGGCGGCAUACUGGCCCAUUACUGACGCUGAGGCUCGAAAGCGUGGGGAGCAAACAGGAUUAGAUACCCUGGUAGUCCACGCUGUAAACGAUGAGUGCUAGUUGUCGGCAUGCAUGCAUGUCGGUGACGCAGCUAACGCAUUAAGCAUCCGCCUGGGGAAGUACGGUCGCAAGNUUAAAGUCNCAAAGGAAUUGACGGCGNGAGAGNGCGAGACGACGACGAGGAGGAGG
RNAcentral lists this ribosomal RNA (593 nucleotides) under uncultured bacterium. RNAcentral's name for it is "bacterial SSU rRNA". It matches the Rfam family "Bacterial small subunit ribosomal RNA", at positions 338 to 947 of the family's 1533-position model. The record is from RNAcentral.